GCUCUAUUGUUUAGUUCCACUUGCCGCUCUGGCUGCAGCAUCCUUGAUGAGUUAGAACCUGUUUAUUGUUAUUUGGUAAGUUUGUAAGAAGUGCAUUUCAUCAAUCUUACCUCUUUGGUCAAACAGGUACAGUGGAAGGACUUUCAACAACACCAGCUGUAAUCAACACUAACUUGAACGUCCUCAAUUUGAGACAAUGGACAAUGACACAGCAGCCAAACCGAAAUGAGGAAACACAGAAAAGGAAAGAGCAGUGACGCAGCCCAGUGGACAGAAGAAUGCAUUGACCUGUUGCACCAGUUACAGAGCUCCACGAUGAAGACAAAGCCGGGGGUGAAGUAGAGCAGGAGCAGAACCCCGUGGGCCAGCAGGGUGACCCGCGCCCUGGAGAAGCGGCUCUGCCAGAUGCCAUGGGUCCUUGUUACCAUGUAGAGUCGAAUGUAGCAGUAAAAAAUGAGCAAAGCACAGAAGAGCGCGGUAACGAAGAAGUAGACGUGGAUCGCUACCACGUUCUGGACCUGAAUGAGACCCAGAGAGACGAGAACUAGACAAACAGCCAACUCCUCAUCGGAAUUUCCCUUCCCAACCUCCAUCAUGAUCACCAGAGUGAAGGGGUACACGGCUGCCAGAACCCACACCCCCACCAUUAUGCGGUGGGUGCGGGCAGGAGGAAGAAGGUCGUGGUAGCGGAGAGGCCAGCGGACAGCAGCGUAGGUGUCCACCACCAUGAGGGUGAUGGUGAGGACGGUGCAGCAGUAGGCGGUGACAGUGACGGCUGUGAACAGCCCACACACGACCCAGGGGACCUGAGCACUGACUGCGAUGCAGAUCAUAAUGGCCAGGUUGAGGAUGAGGAAGAGCAUGUCGGCCAUCAGGGUGUUGGCCACCAGCAGGUAGCGUGUCUCCCGCCUCAAGGCACGGGACAGGAAGAUGCAUGACAGGAGGACAGGGUUGGCCAGCAAGGUGGCCAGGGUGACGACAAUGGUCGGGAUGAAAAAAUACUCCAUGUGCCACCCGCGCAGACACUCCACCCACUCCUGGGUGAAGUUGGCCACCAGUACUGAUGAUGUCAUUUUGUGUCACGGAUAGAGAGACACAGAUGCACUCACUGAGAUGUGAUUUACAAUGUGUUGAUUACUUCCUCCUGCAGCUUCCUGUGAAUGACAGAAAAACUUAAGUUAAUAUCAGCAACUGAAACUGAUUCAGACAUGUCAUAUCUGCUUCCUUGUUAUUUUCUAAUUAACAUCACAGUUUUGCCACCUAAUUAAGUGUGUCGGUGAAAACACAAGGAGGCUGUCCUUUGAGAUAACCCAUGUGCUGUGCAACCAAUCAAUUGAUCAAACAUCUACAUGAGGAAGAUUAACAGGAGUAAUUACUUUGUGAAUUAUGGUCUUUAAACAGUCACCCUGUUCUCAUACAUGUCAUCAUGAUGUAUUGCAGUGUGAGCAAACCUUAGAGAUUAUACAUUGUCCAUGCACUUCAGAUAUUAAAAUAUGUUCAGUUCACACGACCCACUUCAUUUGACUGCCAGAAUUCAAAUAUGAUCAGCGCACAACCAUGGACUCCCAUUGGUGAAAGAUUUCACAUGAAAAACAUAUUCAAAUGAAGCUGAAGUUGUAAACAGCUAACAGUUAACUUAAAGUAUGAAACAUUAGAAAAUAUCCAUUUAAUAUACUGCAUAAAAACAUUAAAACGGAUGAAACCAACUUUGAAUCAAUCUAAAAUCAUAAAUUCAGCUACACUUUAAGGUGGGGUGUCAGUAUUUACCGAUAGAAUUAAGAUUUUAGGGAGAAGAUUACAAACGUAAUAAUAUUGCUUUCCAUCUCCUCACAUGCUUGUCAAUACUCAAAAUCUUACAGACACAACAACUCAAUCACUCGGCUCUAUACAAACUUUGCACCUACGCACUUAUCGACAAAUUAUUGAUCGGCCAAAGGUGAGUUUUUCUUACCCGACGUCCAGAACAGAAAACUCUCUCUUCUGAUGCACAUCCAUCGAGCUUAGCACUCGUGCAAAUCAAUGGAUGCUUGGUCCGACUCGUCGUGUCCCCUGCUCUUACCUGAUGCACUCUCUGUUGACUCAUACAGAUAACAUGAGGUGGGAGAAAGCUGCUGCCACUUUGCCGUAACAUAGGAACAGGGUGGAGCUUUUCAUCCCCUUCACUGCUCCGAGUGUUGCUGAUUUUUCUAAUUCUCUACCCGAGAUGUGAAAACCGUCUAACUGGAAAUGGCUUGAUUGAAGUUUCCCUCUUUAGCAGUCAAGUCACUGACAUUCCUUCAGUUAAGGAAGAGUCCAAAAACUUCUUGAUCGAGCAAAAAGGAGAGAAAUGUUAUAACCCGUCCAUAAAGUCAUGAUCUCACGUCUGUAUGAUGUCACUUAAAUAAACACCUUUCAACUCCAAACCAGAGGGUUCUCUCAGUCGGAUCCGUCUCUAACAUUAGUUCAUUGUGAGGAAAAGACGCAGCAUCGUGUUUCCAUGUGUGUUUAAGAUAAGAAUAUUCUGUUUUAGAUAAGACUAUUCUAAGCACCUAAUAAUAAACCCGACCUCGAGAAACAGCUGAGAGUAAACAUUUUAUUGUUUCAUUUGCCAUUAGAUGUAAUUUUGUCUUAUCCCUCCAUUUCCUCUUGAAAUUAUUUUCAGUUCCCUCAUAUCGUUCUCUUUCUUGUCUUUAUGUAUCCACUCCUGCCUCCUGUCUCCUCCUCUUCAUCCUCCUCCUCUUCAGAAUAAGUGGCAUCGACAUUGAUGCUGCCUUGCUCCUUUUCCUCCUCCAGCCACUCUUUUGCCACAAGUCUUUGAAAGACAUCGUACUCCUCCACUGACGCCUUUGCAACGGCUGUGAGGAAGGUCAUCUGGUCGACGUUGAGAAUGCUGUCCAGUUUAGGGUUGAUGAUGAUGGUCUGUCCUUUCUUGUCUGGGGUUUGGUACAGGCCCCUGCGCUCCAGGAAACAGUGUCGACAUCGAACCUCAUCCAGGGAGUAACGGAACAACCUGGACUUAAUAAUCUCCGCCUGUUUGACACCCAUUCGAAAGUAGACGUACUG
This is a long non-coding RNA of Pleuronectes platessa (European plaice), 3042 nucleotides long. RefSeq lists it as uncharacterized. The transcript is spliced from 3 exons. Lineage: Eukaryota; Metazoa; Chordata; Actinopteri; Pleuronectiformes; Pleuronectidae. The record is from RefSeq and is a predicted model, not a curated record.